Molecule: ribosomal RNA, 8109 nt
Filed under: Triticum aestivum (bread wheat)
Lineage: Eukaryota; Viridiplantae; Streptophyta; Magnoliopsida; Poales; Poaceae
Description: partial small subunit ribosomal RNA
Source: RNAcentral
AUGUCGAACUUCGCCGGCCACAUCAAGGAGCUCCGCGCGCUCAUCGCGGGCUCCUCCUCCUCCGCCGCCGCCCCGGCCUCCGCCCACUACGAGGCCAAGCUCCGCGAGGUCCUCCCCAGCCUCCUCCGCGACAACGUCCUCCCCGCCCCCACCGCGACCGAGAUGGAGACCAAGGUGGUGCUCAGGCUGCUCAACUACACGGCGCCCAGGUUCCCCGGGGUCUUCUCCAACGGCCGCCCCGCCGAGGUCAUCCGCGUCAUCGGCCGCAUCCUCCCCUUGUUCGCAGAACCCGACUACCAGUCAAUUAUAUUUGAGCCGGUUUGGUCUCUCCUCUCACUUCUCCGCACCGGUGACCGGGAGGCCUACAGGCAGUUCUUCCUGGAUGCGAUGGUUGCAGUAGAAGAUCUACAAUAUGUGGCAUCAAAGCACACGGAGAGUGGAUGUCUUUUAAAAUGCUUCUGUGGAUCCUUCUCAGACAUUUUGGAGUCCACUGCGAUUUUUAGUGACCUCCCAGAGAGGUUCCAGCCUAAAAAUGGACCUGGUGUGCUGAUUGAUCUGUCUGGUGACAUGAGGUGGUGUUCAUUUGCCACUUCGUUAAUUAGACUCAUCAACAAAUGCCUCACAGAUGGUACCCUGCAUGUUGAAGGGAUUGUUACCAUGCCAUUUGUUUCAGCUGCUUGUUCUAUUCUCUGUUAUGGGGAUGAAUCCCUGCACAAGGUUUGUUUUGAUUUUGCGCGGAUCGUUGCAACGGUGAUGACUGUUGAGAUUCUUCCUACGGAAACUAUUAUUCGUUCAAUCACAUCGAUUCUAAGCCAAGAUGUUAAUGAGCUUUCUAGUAUCAGAGAUCCAGAUUAUGACUUAUCAAUGGGUGCAUGUCUAAAUGCUUUGCAUUCUUUGUGUCCUGGUUAUAUUGUUGAAUCUACGGCUGCUGAUAUUGUCAAUGUUUUCACAAGGGCAGUACAGAUCAGUAGAAGCUCAGAGCUUCAGGCUGCGAUGUGCAAUGCGUACAUGAGAAUAGUUGAAGUCUGCCCCCCACAAGUAUGGAAACCAGAGAUCCUUCUGAAGUUGCUCUAUUUGCCCAAGCCUUAUGACAAAGUGACUGAAUGCAUUCGACUGGUUGUUGACAAAUUUGGUCAGAGUUUGGUGUCUGUGGAUGCCAGCGAUGAUCGAGGCAGCUUUCAGGAAAAAUCUGAAGUAUUUGAACUGCCAAAAGUCGGCCAGAAAAGAGUGGCUCAGAACCAGGAAAAUACUUUGUACAAACGUCAAAAGAUGUCUGAAUCACGAUCAACCAUUGGUUCAUUUAUGGCCAAAUUCUCUCCUGCUGGCAUAGGACAUGAACUAGCAAAAGAUUAUGCCUAUGAUCUUCAAUUGUCACUAAAUUCACGUAUUAAGUUCCUGUCACCUGACAAUCAUAAUGCUUAUCCAUUGGAGCCUGAUAUUGCUAUACAAGUGCUUAGUCUUCUUUCUCUUUCAUUCUGUGUUAACCCAAAGACAAGUCUGUUUAUUAGUAUUUCUAAGCAAGUUCUCUCCUGGAUCCCUUGGAUUUGCAAGCAGGCAACCGAGAAAUGUUUUUUUUCCUUCGACAUGUUACUAUAUUUCAAAGCUCUUCAGACUGUAAUGCUUCUCCGAUCCUUUCAUCCUGGAGACUCUAAACUGUUUGAAGAUGAAGCUCGGCUGAUUUGUGAUCGCAGUGAAGAUUUAGAUUAUCCACUAUAUGUUGACCUCAUCAGCUUGCUGAAACGGGUGUGGUCUGACGGUCAUGUUUCCACUCAAGCAUGCUUAGACAAGUUAAAAUGCCUUGUGGUACAAGUUAUUGCUAAGAUUGGCAACAGACUGAAUAUUGAUUGUGACCUUGAACUCCUUGAACUGGCUAUCCAUAGUGAAUCUGUGGAGGUUCAAAAUGAGGCUCUUAUGUCACUGCCCAUUAUUGUACUGUAUUCUGGUCCUACGAUGCUUGGAGUGAUGUUCAAGAAACUUGAGUUAUUUGGUGAUUUAGGAUCUGACAAAGUGUGGAAAUGUGUUGCCUUUUCACUCGGUUUCCUAUCUUGUUUAAAUGGAACAACUGAUGUUACUGACAAAGCGGGGAACAGUUGCAAGCUGUUCAUGGACAAGGACUCUAAGCAACCAGUCUCGACAUUGGAUCUUCUCUUGAAAGGUUUCUGGUGCCCUCACUGUGAUAACAGAACUGUCAAUACUAAAGAGCAGAUUUCUAUUGUGGACAUGGCAGUACUAGAAACUGAGAAUGUUGCCUUGAAACAUAAUAUUUUGAAGGCCCACACACUUUUUUUCAAGUUCCUAUAUGCACAGACUUCCAAAGAAUGUAUCAUUUCCAUGGUUGAAGUUUUGCCACGAGUUCUGAGACAUUCUAGCAAAGAGGUUUUACUUGAGAUGAAAAUUAAGUGGGUAAACUGUAUUGAUUUUCUGCUACUUAAUGGAAUGAAAGAUGUCAGAGAUGCAUUUUCUCUUGUAGUAUGCUGCUUUUUGGAAACCAGAGUCAUGGACAUUUUGUUCUCGGAUGAACUGGGAAUGGAGGGAGGGACUAAAGAACUUAAGUUCAUGGACAAAAUAAAGCAAGCUUUCGCAGAAGCUGAAGAUUCUCAUGUUCUACUGACUCUUUUGGAGUCUACUGCUACAAUUAUGCAAGCCAGUGAUACUCAAGGGGAAGUUUUUUUCUGCUCAUUUGUAUUGCUUAUUGCUCAGCUUGAUAACCAUGAUCCCAUUGUAAGGAAGACGGCAUCAAGAUUACUUCACAGAUGCUGCACUUACAGUUUCAAAGGAGGAAUAGAACUCUUCCUCUCGAAUAACUUCCGUGUUAGAGAUGAUUUAUAUGACUAUCUUUCAUCUAGACUAUUAAAUCAUCCUGUAGUGAUUAAUGAAUUUGCUGAGGCUGUUCUUGGGAUUAAGACUGAAGAGCUGAUUAGGAGAAUGGUUCCAUCAGUUAUACCAAAGCUUAUUGUGUCUCACCCAGACAAUGACCAAGCUGUUAUUACUCUGCAUGAACUGGCAAACCAUCUAAACACUGAACUAGUACCAUUGAUUGUUAAUUCACUACCUAAAGUGCUUUCGUUCGCUCUAUUCUAUGAAGAUGGGCAGCACUUGCCGUCUGUUCUACAGUUUUAUCACACCGAAACGGGAAGUGAUAGCAAAGAAAUAUUUGCAGCUGCUUUGCCAACACUGCUUGAUGAGAUCAUAUGUUUUCCUGGGGAAUCUGAUCAUAUCGAGACUGAUAGAAGGACAACAAGAAUUUCACCAACAAUACAGAAUAUUGCAAGAAUUUUGACAGGGAAUGACACCCUUCCUGAGUUCUUGAAGAAUGAUUUUGUCAGACUUCUCAAUAGCAUUGACAAGAAGAUGCUUCAUUCUGAUGACUUGAAGCUUCAAAAGCAAGCUCUCCAGCGUAUACGGAAGUUAGUUGAGAUGAUGGGCCCUUAUUUGAGUACACAUGCACCGAAGAUUAUGGUUCUGUUGAUAUUUGCCACUGAUAAGGAAGCUCUUCAAAUGGAUGGUCUUGAUGUGUUACAUUUUUUCAUAAAGCAAUUGGCUGAGGUAUCAUCGACCAGUAUCAAGUAUGUUAUGUCCCAAGUUGUAGCUGCUUUCAUUCCAUCUUUAGAGAAGUGCAGAGAAUGCCCUUCUGUGCACCUGAGAAAAAUUGUUGAAAUCCUAGAAGAACUUGUUGUGAAAAACAGUAAGUUGCUUAAACAACAUAUACGUGAACUGCCAUUGCUGCCCAGCUUACCAUCUUUGUCGGAAGUAAACAAAAUAAUACAGGAAGCCAGAGGAUCAAUGACUCUGCAAGAUCAUCUAAAAGAUGCCGUUGAUGGUCUUAAUCAUGAGAGCUUGAAUGUAAGGUACAUGGUAGCAUGUGAGUUGAGUAAAUUAUUCAAGGUCAAACGGGAGGAUGUUACUGCACUUAUAAUUGGUGAAGAUACUUCUGAUUUGGAUGUAAUAAGCGCUUUAAUUAUGGCUUUACUUAAAGGAUGUGCUGAGGAGUCAAGGACAAUGGUUGGCCAGAGGCUGAAACUAGUCUGUGCAGAUUGUCUUGGUGCACUGGGUGCAGUUGAUCCUGCUAAGUUCAAGGUAAUUUCGUGUGAGCGCUUUAAGAUUGAAUGUUCAGACGAUGAUCUUAUAUUUGAGUUGAUCCACAAGCAUCUUGCAAGGGCAUUCAGAGCAGCUUCCGAUACAACAGUACAAGAUUCUGCUGCCUUAGCUAUUCAAGAGCUACUAAAAUUGGCCGGCUGUCAGUCUUUACCCAAAGAAGAUAAUGGGGAAGAUUCAAGUAGUUGUGAAAUGAGCAGAAGGGGUCAGAAAUUGUGGGGACGUUUUUCUAGUUAUGUUAAGGAAAUAAUUGCGCCAUGCUUGACUUCAAGAUUUCAUCUUCCUAGUGUGAAUGAUGCUGCUUUACUUGGCCCAAUAUACCGCCCAACGAUGUCCUUCAGAAGGUGGAUAUAUUACUGGAUUAGAAAGUUGACAUCCCACGCAACUGGAUCGCGCUAUGGUAUCUUCAGUGCAUGCCGAGGAAUUGUUCGGCAUGACAUGCCAACUGCGCUCUAUCUCCUACCUUACUUGGUUUUAAAUGCUGUUUGCUAUGGAACUCCAGAGGCUCGGCAAAGUAUCACUGAUGAAAUAUUGUCUGUUCUCAAUGCAGCUGCUUCAGAAAGUAGUGGGGCUAUUGUUCAAGGUGUUACUGGGGGGCAGAGUGAGGUUUGUGUUCAAGCCAUCUUCACUUUACUUGAUAAUCUUGGGCAAUGGGUUGAUGAUCUCAAGCAGGAAAUUGCUCUAUCCCAGUCUAAUAAUGCCAUGGCUGGGAGGCAAGCAGGUAAAUUGAACGAAGAAAGCUGUUCUAAUAACGGCCAAGAUCAAUUGUUGGUGCAGUGUAGCAAUGUUGCUGAGCUGUUGGCUGCUAUACCUAAAGUUACUCUAGCUAAGACCUCUUUUAGAUGUCAAGCUCAUGCACGUGCUCUAGCAUAUUUCGAAUCUCAUGUCCGAGAGAAGUCCGGGUCCUCUAAUCCAGCUGCAGAGUGUAGCGGCACUUUUUCAGAUGAUGACAUCUCUUUUCUGAUGGAAAUAUAUGGAGGAUUGGAUGAGCCUGAUGGCCUAUUAGGUUUAGCUAAUCUGAGGAAUUCAUCAAGCCUACAAGAUCAACUUAUCAUCAAUGAGAAAGCUGGAAACUGGGCUGAAGUGCUAACACUGUGUGAACAUGCUUUGCAAAUGGAACCUGAUUCUGUCCAUAGACAUUGUGAUGUUCUCAACUGUUUGCUAAACAUGUGCCACCUUCAAGCCAUGAUUGCGCAUGUGGAUGGUUUGGUUGGCAGAAUACCUCAGUAUAAGAAAACAUGGUGCAUGCAAGGUGUGCAAGCAGCUUGGAGAUUAGGAAGAUGGGAUCUCAUGGACGAGUACCUACCCGAGGCAGACAAAGGUCUUGUGUACAGUAGCACUGAGAACAGUGCUUCGUUUGACAUAGGUCUAGCAAAAAUAUUCAAGGCGAUGACGACAAAAGACCAGUUUAUGGUUGCUGAAAAGAUCGCCCAGUCCAAGCAAGCGUUGCUUGUCCCGUUGGCUGCAGCAGGCAUGGACUCAUAUAUGCGUGCAUAUCCCUACAUUGUCAAGCUCCACAUGCUGUGUGAGCUGGAAGACUUCAACUCCCUGCUGGGAGAUGAGUCAUUUCUCGACAAAUCAUUCAGUGCAGAUGAUCCAAGUUUUCUGAAGUUAACAAAAGACUGGGAUAACCGUCUUAAAUGUACACAAUCGUCUCUGUGGGCAAGGGAGCCUUUGCUUGCUUUCCGAAGGAUGGUUUAUAAUCUUAGUCAUAUGAAUUCUCAAGUUGGGAACUGCUGGCUUCAGUACGCUAAGCUCUGCCGUUUGGCUGGACAUUAUGAGACAGCCCACCGUGCAAUACUGGAAGCAGAUGCUUCAGGUGCUCCAAACGUUCACAUGGAGAAGGCAAAGCACCUCUGGAAUAUACGGAAAUCUGAUAGUGCUAUAGCCGAACUUCAGCAAACACUUCUAAACAUGCCCGCGGAGGUUUUGGGAAAUGCUGUCCUUUCAUCUCUUUCCAGCCUUUCUCUUGCAUUGCCAAAUGCGCCUAUCUCUGCAACACAAGCAUCAAAAGAGAAUCCAGAUGUGUCUAAAACCCUUCUUCUUUAUACUAGAUGGAUCCACAAUACAGGGCAAAAACAGAGCGAGGAAAUCAAAACUCUCUACAGUAGAGUAACAGAGUUGCGGCCCAAGUGGGAGAAGGGUUUCUUUUGCAUGGCAAAGUUUUUGGAUGAUUUACUUGUUGAUGCUAGGAAACGUCAGGAAGAUAAGAAAUUCACAGGUGGAGUUGGAUCUGUUACUCCUGGCUCUGCUGGAAGUGCAAGUGCCCCAGCUAAAGAGAGGCCUUGGUGGGAGUUGGUUCCAACAGUCUUGCUAUGUUAUGCAAAAGGACUCCACAAAGGACACAAGAAUCUUUUUCAAGCACUACCACGGUUACUUACGGUUUGGUUUGAAUUUGGAAACAUAUACAUCCAAGAAGGGCGAAGUGCAGAAAUGAAAGUCGUUCAUGAUAGGAUGUUAGCCGUCGUCCGCGGGUGCUCGAAGGAUCUACCAACUUAUCAGUGGCUAACUGUGCUGUCUCAGUUGAUAUCUCGCAUCUGUCAUCAGAAUGGUGAACUUGUCAGAGUUGUAAGAUACAUUAUCCAGGUGGUUUUACAGGCAUACCCUCAGCAAGCACUUUGGAUGAUGGCUGCAGUGUCAAAGUCAACAGUUUCUGCAAGACGAGAGGCUGCUGGACAAAUAUUAAAAUUAGCAAAGAAGGGCGUUGGGAAGAGGAGCGACCAUGUUGCGCUGUUUAAUCAGUUUCCUUCUCUAAUAGAACAUCUGAUUAAGCUGUGCUUUCACCCAGGGCAGCCCAAGGCAAGGUCAAUAAAUAUCUCGACUGAGUUCAGUUCCUUGAAAAGAAUGAUGCCCCUAGGAAUUAUAUUACCUGUCCAGCAGGCUCUCACUGUAACUCUGCCAUCAUACGAUUCAAAUAUGUCAGGUCAAUCUACUUUUCACCCUUUUUCGAUCUCUGAGCAUCCUACUAUAGCUGGAAUAGCCGACGAUGCAGAGAUCCUAUCCUCCCUUCAGAAACCAAAGAAGGUUGUGUUCCUUGGAAGCGAUGGAGUGGCUCGCCCAUUUCUAUGUAAACCGAAGGAUGACCUUAGGAAGGAUGCACGCAUGAUGGAGUUCAAUGCUGUGAUCAAUCGUCUCCUCUCCAAAGUUCCUGAGAGCCGCAGGAGGAAGCUUUAUAUCAGAACCUUUGCCGUGGUUCCACUUACAGAAGACUGUGGACUAGUAGAAUGGGUGCCCAACACCCGUGGUCUUCGGCAUAUUCUUCAGGACAUAUACAUAACUUGCGGCAAGUAUGAUAGGAUGAAAACAAACUCACAGAUGAAGAGGAUAUAUGAUGUAUGCCAUGCCAGCAAAAUACCUGAAGAUGAGAUGAUGAAAACUAAAAUCCUUCCAUUGUUCCCCCCGGUGUUCCACAAAUGGUUCUUGACGACAUUCUCUGAACCAGCUGCAUGGUUUCGUGCCAGAGUGGCAUAUGCACAUACCGCCGCAGUUUGGUCGAUGGUUGGGCACAUUGUUGGGCUUGGUGACAGGCACGGCGAGAACAUCCUUAUUGACGCGACGACCGGGGACUGUGUUCAUGUGGAUUUCAGUUGCUUGUUUGACAAGGGUUUGCAGCUUGAGAAGCCCGAGGUGGUGCCGUUCAGGCUUACACAAAACAUGAUCGAUGGAUUGGGCAUCGCUGGAUACGAAGGCGUCUUUCUGAAGGUCUGCGAGAUCACUUUAUCGGUUCUCAGGGGCCACAAGGAGGCGCUCAUGACCGUCCUCGAGACCUUCAUCCACGACCCGCUAGUAGAGUGGACCAAAGCCCACAAGUCCAGUGGAGGCGAGGUCCGAAAUCCGCAAGCGCAGAGAGCCAUCGCCAACAUCACGGCGAGGCUCCAGGGUGUCGUGGUGGGCGUCAACGCCGCGCCCUCCCUGCCGCUCUCCGUCGAAGGGCAGGCGCGGCGGCUGAUCGCGGAAGCAGUCUCCCACAAGAACCUCGGCAAGAUGUACAUCUGGUGGAUGCCCUGGUUCUGA